Molecule: ribosomal RNA, 778 nt
Filed under: Planktothricoides raciborskii
Lineage: Bacteria; Bacillati; Cyanobacteriota; Cyanophyceae; Oscillatoriales; Oscillatoriaceae
Description: bacterial SSU rRNA
Rfam family: Bacterial small subunit ribosomal RNA
Source: RNAcentral
UAUAGAGUUUGAUACCUGGCUCAGGAUGAACGCUGGCGGUCUGCUUAACACAUGCAAGUCGAACGGAAUCCUUCGGGAUUUAGUGGCGGACGGGUGAGUAACACGUGAGAAUCUGCACUCAGGAUGGGGACAACAGCGGGAAACUGCUGCUAAUACCCAAUGUGCCGAAAGGUAAAAGAUUUAUCGCCUGAGAAUGAGCUCGCGGCCGAUUAGUUAGUUGGUGGGGUAAUGGCCUACCAAGACGGCGAUCGGUAGCUGGUCUGAGAGGAUGAGCAGCCACACUGGGACUGAGACACGGCCCAGACUCCUACGGGAGGCAGCAGUGGGGAAUUUUCCGCAAUGGGCGCAAGCCUGACGGAGCAAGACCGCGUGGGGGAGGAAGGCUCUUGGGUUGUAAACCCCUUUUCUCAGGGAAGAAGUUCUGACGGUACCUGAGGAAUCAGCCUCGGCUAACUCCGUGCCAGCAGCCGCGGUAAUACGGAGGAGGCAAGCGUUAUCCGGAAUUAUUGGGCGUAAAGCGUCCGUAGGUGGUGGGGCAAGUCGGCGGUUAAAGACUGGGGCUUAACUCCAGAAAGGCCGUGGAAACUGCACCACUAGAGGGCAGUAGGGGUAGAGGGAAUUCCCGGUGUAGCGGUGAAAUGCGUAGAGAUCGGGAAGAACACCAGUGGCGAAAGCGCUCUACUGGACUGCAACUGACACUCAGGGACGAAAGCUAGGGGAGCGAAUGGGAUUAGAUACCCCAGUAGUCCUAGCCGUAAACGAUGAUGCUAGGGUACGC